This 836-nucleotide ribosomal RNA is filed under the name uncultured fungus. Its description in RNAcentral is "bacterial SSU rRNA". It matches the Rfam family "Eukaryotic small subunit ribosomal RNA", at positions 562 to 1393 of the family's 1831-position model. Lineage: Eukaryota; Fungi. The record is from RNAcentral.
UUGUGCCAGCAGCCGCGGUAAUUCCAGCUCCAAUAGCGUAUAUUAAAGUUGUUGUGGUUAAAAAGCUCGUAGUUGAACCUUGGGCCUGGCUGGCCGGUCCGCCUCACCGCGUGCACUGGUCCGGCCGGGCCUUUCCCUCUGUGGAACCCCAUACCCUUCACUGGGCGUGGCGGGGAAACAGGACAUUUACUUUGAAAAAAUUAGAGUGCUCCAGGCAGGCCUAUGCUCGAAUACAUUAGCAUGGAAUAAUAAAAUAGGACGCGCGGUUCUAUUUUGUUGGUUUAUAGGACCGCCGUAAUGAUUAAUAGGGACAGUCGGGGGCAUCAGUAUUCAACUGUCAGAGGUGAAAUUCUUGGAUCAGUUGAAGACUAACUACUGCGAAAGCUUUUGCCAAGGAUGUUUUCAUUAAUCAGGAACGAAAGUUAGGGGAACGAAGACGAUCAGAUACCGUCGGAGGCUUAACCAUAAACUAUGCCGACUAGGGGAUCGGGAACGGUGAUAUCAUGACCCGUUCGACACCUUACGAAGAAAUCAAAAUGCCUUGGGCUCCAGGGGGAGGAUGGUCGCAAGGCUGGAACUUAAAAAAAUAGACGGAAGGGCACCACAGGGGUGGAAGCCUGCGGUUUAAGUUUGACUUCACACGGGGAAAAUUCACGAGGAUCCAGAGACAGAAAAGAUUGACAGAGUGAAGAACCCUGUCUUGAAUUUGUGAGUGGAGGUGCAUAGGCCGAUCCUUAGUUGUGGGAUGACUUGGUGUGCUUUAAGUCGGAUAAUGAACGACGACUUUACCUGGGCAAAUGACCCGAGAAUGCCGCCGGAGUAGCGCGUUGUAUAUU